Molecule: ribosomal RNA, 297 nt
Filed under: Triticum aestivum (bread wheat)
Lineage: Eukaryota; Viridiplantae; Streptophyta; Magnoliopsida; Poales; Poaceae
Description: partial small subunit ribosomal RNA
Source: RNAcentral
AUGCACAGACAAAAAAAUUGUGAUGGGGAGACCAAGCGAAGUAUUCAUGAUGCUCUGUGUGUUGCAAGGAAUCUGAUCAUCAACAACUCAAUUGUGUAUGGUGGUGGCUCGGCAGAAAUAUCUUGCUCAAUUGUUGUUGGAGCUGCAGCGGAUCAGCAUCCUGAAGUUGAGCAGCAUGCAAUCAAGGCGUUUGCUGAUGCUUUUGAUCCUAUCCCAAAUCAUCAGCGGAUCGGCAUCCUGAAGUUGAGCAGUAUGCAAUCAGGGCGCCUGCUGAUGCUUUGGAUCCUAUUCCGCUAG